RNAcentral lists this ribosomal RNA (335 nucleotides) under uncultured bacterium. RNAcentral's name for it is "partial 16S ribosomal RNA". It matches the Rfam family "Bacterial small subunit ribosomal RNA", at positions 338 to 665 of the family's 1533-position model. The record is from RNAcentral.
CCUACGGGUGGCAGCAGUAGGGAAUCUUCCACAAUGGGCGAAAGCCUGAUGGAGCAACGCCGCGUGGGUGAAGAAGGUCUUCGGAUCGUAAAACCCUGUUGUUAGAGAAGAAAGUGUGUGAGAGUAACUGUUCACGUUUCGACGGUAUCUAACAAGAAAGCCACGGCUAACUACGUGCCAGCAGCCGCGGUAAUACGUAGGUGGCAAGCGUUAUCCGGAUUUAUUGGGCGUAAAGGGAACGUAGGCGGUCUUUUAAGUCUGAUGUGAAAGCCUUCGGCUUAACCGGGGUAGUGCAUUUGAAACUGGGAGACUAGAGAGUAGAUGAGGUAGGUGGA